Molecule: long non-coding RNA, 638 nt
Organism: Lagopus muta (rock ptarmigan)
Lineage: Eukaryota; Metazoa; Chordata; Aves; Galliformes; Phasianidae
Exons: 5
Source: RefSeq, a predicted model, not a curated record
CAGCUAGAACAAGUUGAGUGGGGCUGCAACGCAUCCUGGGUUUCUGGGAUGACUUGUGAACUUGUUCAUUGUCUGCCUGUGCUGUGUGUGGACCCUGGGACAACGCAGGGGCAGCAGAUGAUUCGUUUGUGAAGACUUUGCAGCGUUUUCUUCAUGGAUUGACUGGGACAAGCAGUUCUACCCCAAAUAAGCAGCUCCCUGGGUCUCAGCCUGCAAUCUCACUCAGACAGAAGACUGUGUCCUCUAGGGUGCUAGGAGGCAGCUAAAAUAUGAAGAAACCCUCACUUGGCUUUUUCUGCUGAGAUGAAAUUUAGCACCAAAGCGCAAUCCCCGAGGCAGCAGGGAUUCUGAUGUCUGCUGGUGGCUGUGCAUGCUGUCUGCUUGGAGCAAAGGGGGUGUUCAGCUCAGCGGAGCAGCAGGAGAAACGUGUAGGAAACAAAGAUGCACCACCAUAGGUACCUCCAUUGAAAAAAGAAAAUAAAGAAGAAAUCAUGAGAUCGAAUGUGCCACGGAAAUCCCUUAGUGUCACUGGAGCUCCAUCCUUCUCACUCAUACUAAGCCAAUUCCUGGGUGAAUCUGUAGCUCUGGGACUGAAAAACAAUCAAAGUGGACUCUUCCCUAUUCCCACCAAAGGCUUC